AGUCGAGGGGUAUGGUUCUUCGGAACCAGAGACCGGCGCACGGGUGCGUAACGCGUAUGCAAUCUGCCUUUCACAGAGGGAUAGCCCAGAGAAAUUUGGAUUAAUACCUCAUAGUAUAGCGACAUCGCAUGAUGAUGCUAUUAAAGUCACAACGGUGAAAGAUGAGCAUGCGUCCCAUUAGCUAGUUGGUAAGGUAACGGCUUACCAAGGCAACGAUGGGUAGGGGUCCUGAGAGGGAGAUCCCCCACACUGGUACUGAGACACGGACCAGACUCCUACGGGAGGCAGCAGUGAGGAAUAUUGGUCAAUGGGCGCAAGCCUGAACCAGCCAUGCCGCGUGCAGGAUGACGGUCCUAUGGAUUGUAAACUGCUUUUGCACAGGAAGAAACACUGAUUCGUGAAUCAGCUUGACGGUACUGUGAGAAUAAGGAUCGGCUAACUCCGUGCCAGCAGCCGCGGUAAUACGGAGGAUCCAAGCGUUAUCCGGAAUCAUUGGGUUUAAAGGGUCCGUAGGCGGUCUGGUAAGUCAGUGGUGAAAGCCCAUCGCUCAACGGUGGAACGGCCAUUGAUACUGCUGGACUUGAAUUAUUAGGAAGUAACUAGAAUAUGUAGUGUAGCGGUGAAAUGCUUAGAGAUUACAUGGAAUACCAAUUGCGAAGGCAGGUUACUACUAAUGGAUUGACGCUGAUGGACGAAAGCGUGGGUAGCGAACAGGAUUAGAUACCCUGGUAGUCCACGCCGUAAACGAUGGAUACUAGCUGUUGGAAGCAAUUUCAGUGGCUAAGCGAAGGUGAUAAGUAUCCCACCU
Molecule: ribosomal RNA, 808 nt
Filed under: uncultured bacterium
Lineage: Bacteria
Description: bacterial SSU rRNA
Rfam family: Bacterial small subunit ribosomal RNA
Source: RNAcentral